RNAcentral lists this long non-coding RNA (649 nucleotides) under Homo sapiens (human). RNAcentral's name for it is "HSALNT0198855". The record is from RNAcentral. Lineage: Eukaryota; Metazoa; Chordata; Mammalia; Primates; Hominidae.
GACGUAUGUGAUACAUUUCCGCAACUUGGCUACAGUGGCAAAUAUCUAGAAGACUGAAAUCUUCUUGCCAAAAUUAAGAGUCAUUUUCACUGAGAGAGAAGACAAAUGGAGCAGACCAGGACUGGGUGGUUCUGUUUUCACGAAGGUCUCUCCAUCAUCAGGCCACCUGCCCAACACAGCUUCCCUGCUUCUGCUUCUGGGCUGCAUGCUUCCUGAAUCUAGCCUGAAAAUUUGCAUGACUCUGACCGUAUGUCCUCAGCUAGAUGUCACUGCUUCCAUUGUAUGCAUUCAUUCAACACACAGUUAUUGAGUACCUGCUGUGUACCGGACACUGGGUUGACUGGGGGUACAGCACUGAACAAUACGGAAAACACAAACCCUGGCCCCUGGAGUGGAUACCCUACCAGGAAACAGACAGCAAACAAGAUAAAUAAGUCAAAUAACUUCUGCCUUGGAGGGGGAGAACUGCUGUGCAGGGGAACAGAGCGGAGAAGGGGAUCAGGUGCUGGAGAGCGAGGGACAGGGGAGUGGAGAUGUUAAAUUAUGUGGUCUGGGAAGGUCCCGCUGAGAGGCAUCUGAGUCAUCUCAAAGGCCAGGGAAGUGAGGGGCCAGGCCAUGGAGGUGCCUGGGAGUUGUGUCCCAGACAGAG